CCUACGGGAGGCAGCAGUGAGGAAUUUUCCGCAAUGGGCGAAAGCCUGACGGAGCAAUACCGCGUGAGGGACGAAGGAUUUUGGUCUGUAAACCUCUUUUCUCAAGAAAGAAGUUCUGACGGUACUUGAGGAAUAAGCAUCGGCUAACUCCGUGCCAGCAGCCGCGGUAAUACGGGGGAUGCAAGCGUUAUCCGGAAUCAUUGGGCGUAAAGCGCCUGUAGGUUGUUUACUAAGUCUGUUGUUAAAGACUAGGGCUUAACCCUAGAGAAGCAAUGGAAACUUGUAGUAGAGUAUGGCAGGGGUAGAGGGAAUUUCUAGUGUAGCGGUGAAAUGCGUAGAUAUUAGAAAGAACACCGGUGGCGAAAGCGCUCUACUGGACCAUUACUGACACUCAGAGGCGAAAGCUAGGGUAGCAAAAGGGAUUAGAUACCCCUGUAGUCCUAGCCGUAAACGAUGGAUACUAGAUGUUGUGCAUAGUACAGUAUCGUAGCUAACGCGUUAAGUAUCCCGCCUGGGGAGUACGCUCGCAAGGGUGAAACUCAAAGGAAUUGACGG
This 555-nucleotide ribosomal RNA is filed under the name uncultured cyanobacterium. RNAcentral describes it as "bacterial SSU rRNA". It matches the Rfam family "Bacterial small subunit ribosomal RNA", at positions 338 to 916 of the family's 1533-position model. The record is from RNAcentral. Lineage: Bacteria; Bacillati; Cyanobacteriota.